CCAGCAGAUUCCCACUGUUUAUCCACUGUUUGUGUUGAUGCAGUGUCUGGCCAGCCACUUGUGUGUAUGUAGGGGACUCAGACCAGCAGAUUCCCACUGUUUAUCCACUGUUUGUGUUGAUGCAGUGUCUGGCCAGCCACUAGUGUGUUUUGGGGACUCAGACCAGCAGAUUCCCACUGUUUAUCCAUUGUUUGUGUUGAUGCAGUGUCUGGCCAGCCACUUGUGUGUUUUGGGGACUCAGACCAGCAGAUUCCCACUGUUUAUCCACUGUUUGUGUUGAUGCAGUGUCUGGCCAGCCACUUGUGUGUAUGUAGGGGACUCAGACCAGCAGAUUCCCACUGUUUAUCCACUGUUUGUGUUGAUGCAGUGUUUGGCCAGCCACUUGUGUGUAUGUAGGGGACUCAGACCAGCAGAUUCCCACUGUUUAUCCACUGUUUGUGUUGAUGCAGUGUCUGGCCAGCCACUAAUGUGUAUGUAGGGGACUCAGACCAGCAGAUUCCCACUGUUUAUCCACUGUUUUUGUUGAUGCAGUGUUUGGCCAGCCACUUGUGUGUAUGUAGGGGACUGAGACAAAUUUAUUUACUGUUCAGUGACCCGUUUGCAGGCACAGGGGUGUUGACGAGCUGGGUGUGCAGGAGACAGACAAUUAGAAAGGAGGCCACGUCAGAGGUGCCUGUGGUGGGGUCGCCAGUUCCGGAGUACGAGGUGGAGGAGGAAGAGGAAGAGGAGGACGAGGAGGAGGCACGGAUGAGGAAGAAGAAAAGAUUAUUAGCUGUAGCCCUCCCUCCAGCUGAUAAGGGGAUAUUAAUGAGGCCUUCCUACAGGCCUUGGCUUCCUGCGGCCUUCACCCUGCUCAUGACACAUGAAUCCACGCCGGCCGGGACCUUACGCCUUCGAUGUAUGUACUACUCCCGCAGCCCAGCCCGCCCCUACCACCACAGCCCGCACACCCUAGAGCGCCCCCCACAUGCUGGCCUCUUCCCUGCUUCACGGCCAGGCCAGAUGGCUACUCAGUGCGUGGCGGCCUCAGGGCGUGGCAGCCGCCACACCCCCGAGGGCUCCCCGCCCCCAGACCACUGCCACGCCCCCAGACCACUGCCACGGCCCACACACCCCAGAGCGCCCCCCACAUGCUGGCGGCUUCCCUGCUUCACCGCCAGGCCAGAUGGCUACUCAGGGUGUGGCGGCUGCCACACCCCCGAGGGCUCCCCGCCCCCAGACCACUGCCAGUACCACAGCCCCGUGGUGCAGUACCACAGCAGCAUCAGUCCUCCCUUCUCCCGCAGCCCCCCGUGGAGCCCCGAUGGGGGGCGCCGCGCCAGCCUCACAGGGUGGCGCAGUCCAUGCUACCAGCACCACCACCACCACCACUACACUGCCCCACCCCGCGACCGCUGGAGCCCCCAGCGCUCCCCACGCCGUGUUACCCGCUCUCUGUUACCCUCUCCCCGGGGCGCCGCUCAUCACCCCCAGACCGCCGUGCCUCCCCGGAGCGGGGCCGCUCACCACCCAGCCGCUCCCCACGCUACUCCCCGCGCCAUUCCCAUUCCCGGGGGGCUGAGGUCCCCCUGCCGCUCCCUCUCCCCACUGGGUGAGGUGUACCCCUACGAGCGGCGGGGCUGGGGCUGCGCAGCCAGGGAGUGGGAGGCUCUCACCACCACCAUCACAGCCCCAAGGCAGAGCAGAGAAAUAGGGAGGGCAAGGGCUAUGGGUACUCUCCCCCUGCGACAGUAUUUGAUGACGACCUCCGGAUCAUGAGCGAGGCAGAGAUGUUCUCCAUGGGGUUCCACAAGGGGGAGAACAGCGAGUCUCCCCCCACCCCCCCCCCCGCUCCCCCUCCCCCAACACCCUCGAUGCCAAGUCUUUGGGUACUCUCCCAGCCGUGUCACAGCUGAUGAUGAUGAUGCCACCCCCCCCCCCAGCCUGAGCCACCCUCCACCCACCCCAGCCCUCACCAAGCCUCCUCCAGUAACCCUCACCACCACCACCACCACCAGCGACGUAACACCCCACCCCACCCCUCCCCAGACCACAGGCAAGGUGACAGG
This is an RNA transcript of Scylla paramamosain (green mud crab), 2048 nucleotides long. RefSeq lists it as uncharacterized. The transcript has 6 exons. NCBI's taxonomy places the organism in Eukaryota, Metazoa, Arthropoda, Malacostraca, Decapoda, Portunidae. The record is from RefSeq and is a predicted model, not a curated record.